RNAcentral lists this non-coding RNA (46 nucleotides) under Schistosoma mansoni. Lineage: Eukaryota; Metazoa; Platyhelminthes; Trematoda; Strigeidida; Schistosomatidae. The record is from RNAcentral.
GUACUCCUGAGGAGUCCCAUAAUAGGACGAAACGGCCGUCCAGUGU